RNAcentral lists this ribosomal RNA (430 nucleotides) under uncultured bacterium. RNAcentral's name for it is "partial 16S ribosomal RNA". It matches the Rfam family "Bacterial small subunit ribosomal RNA", at positions 29 to 506 of the family's 1533-position model. The record is from RNAcentral.
AACGAACGCUGGCGGCAGGCUUAACACAUGCAAGUCGAACGCCCCGCAAGGGGAGUGGCAGACGGGUGAGUAACGCGUGGGAACAUACCCUUUUCUACGGAAUAGCUCUGGGAAACUGGAAUUAAUACCGUAUACGCCCUACGGGGGAAAGAUUUAUCGGGGAAGGAUUGGCCCGCGUUGGAUUAGCUAGUUGGUGGGGUAAAGGCCUACCAAGGCGACGAUCCAUAGCUGGUCUGAGAGGAUGAUCAGCCACAUUGGGACUGAGACGCGGCCCAAACUCCUACGGGAGGCAGCAGUGGGGAAUAUUGGACAAUGGGCGCAAGCCUGAUCCAGCCAUGCCGCGUGAGUGAUGAAGGCCUUAGGGUUGUAAAGCUCUUUCACCGAUGAAGAUAAUGACGGUAGUCGGAGAAGAAGCCCCGGCUAACUUCGG